ACAGCAGCCGCCGCGGUAAGACAGAGGAUGCAAGCGUUAUCCGGAAUGAUUGGGCGUAAAGCCAGCGCAGGCGGUUUGAUAAGUCUGAAGUUAAAGGCUGUGGCUCAACCAUAGUUCGCUUUGGAAACUGUCAAACUUGAGUGCAGAAGGGGAGAGUGGAAUUCCAUGUGUAGCGGUGAAAUGCGUAGAUAUAUGGAGGAACACCGGUGGCGAAAGCGGCUCUCUGGUCUGUAACUGACGCUGAGGCUCGAAAGCGUGGGGAGCGAACAGGAUUAGAUACCCCCGUAGUCCCUGUCUCUUAUACC
RNAcentral lists this ribosomal RNA (305 nucleotides) under uncultured bacterium. Its description in RNAcentral is "partial 16S ribosomal RNA". It matches the Rfam family "Bacterial small subunit ribosomal RNA", at positions 508 to 808 of the family's 1533-position model. The record is from RNAcentral.